This 1599-nucleotide ribosomal RNA is filed under the name Rhipicephalus microplus (southern cattle tick). RNAcentral's name for it is "SSU rRNA". It matches the Rfam family "Eukaryotic small subunit ribosomal RNA". The record is from RNAcentral. Lineage: Eukaryota; Metazoa; Arthropoda; Arachnida; Ixodida; Ixodidae.
CCUGGUUGAUCCUGCCAGUAAUCAUAUGCUUGUCUCAAAGAUUAAGCCAUGCAUGUCUAAGUACAUCCGAAAUAAGCGAAACCGCGAAUGGCUCAUUAAAUCAGUUAUGGUUCCUUAGAUCGUUUCUUCCUACUUGGAUAACUGUGGCAAUUCUAGAGCUAAUACAUGCAGUGAGCCUGGAGCCCUUUGGGUAACGGGUGCUUUUAUUAGACCAAGAUCGAUCGGGUUUCGGCCCGUAUUGUGUGGUGACUCUGGAUAACUUUGUGCUGAUCGCAUGGCCACGAGCCGGCGACGUUUCUUUCAAGUGUCUGCCUUAUCAACUUUCGAUGGUAGGUUACUUGCUUACCAUGGUUGACGGGUAACGGAGAAUCAGGGUUCGAUUCCGGAGAGGGAGCCUGAGAAACGGCUACCACAUCCAAGGAAGGCAGCAGGCGCGCAAAUUACCCACUCCCGGCACGGGGAGGUAGUGACGAAAAAUAACAAUACGGGACUCUUUUGAGGCCCCGUAAUUGAAAUGAGUACACUCUAAAUCCUUUAACGAGGAUCAAUUGGAGGGCAAGUCUGGUGCCAGCAGCCGCGGUAAUUCCAGCUCCAAUAGCGUAUACUAAAGCUGCUGCGGUUAAAAAGCUCGUAGUUGGAUCUCAGUUCCAGACGAGUAGUGCAUCUACCCGAUGCGACGGCUCGGACUGAACAUCAUGCCGGUUCUUUCUUGGUGCACUUCAUUGUGUGCCUCGAGAUGGCCGGUGCUUUUACUUUGCAAAAAAAAUUAAGACGUUUGCUCAAAAACGGCGCAGGCGAGUCGCCUGAAUAAACUUGCAUGGAAUAAUAGAACAAGACCUCGUUUCUGUUCUGUUGGUUUUUGGAAUACGAGGUAAUGAUUAAGAGGGACGGACGGGGGCAUUCGUAUUGCGGCGCUAGAGGUGAAAUUCUUGGACCGUCGCAAGACGAACUACUGCGAAAGCAUAAUUUGACUCAACACGGGAAAACUUACCCGGCCCGGACACUGGGAGGAUUGACAGAUUGAGAGCUCUUUCUUGAUUCGGUGGAUGGUGGUGCAUGGCCGUUCUUAGUUGGUGGAGCGAUUUGUCUGGUUAAUUCCGAUAACGAACGAGACUCUAGCCUAUUAAAUAGGUGCGGGGUUCCCAGCACCUUACAACCUUCUUAGAGGGACAAGCGGCUCCUAGCCGCACGAAACAGAGCAAUAACAGGUCUGUGAUGCCCUUAGAUGUCCGGGGCCGCACGCGCGCUACACUGAAGGAAGCAGCGUGUCUUUAUCCCUGUCUGAAAAGACUGGGUAACCCGUGGAACUUCUUUCGUGAUUGGGAUAGGGGCUUGCAAUUAUUCCCCUUACGUGUUGUGAUUCGAGGAAUUUCCCUAGUAAGCGCGAGUCAUAAGCUCGCGUUGAUUACGUCCCUGCCCUUUGUACACACCGCCCGUCGCUACUACCGAUUGAAUGAUUUAGUGAGGUCUUCGGACCGAUGUCCGUGUGUGCGGGUUCGAAGUUGGCAAGGGGUUGUUGGAAAAUGAUGGACCAAAAACUUGGAUCAUUUUAGAGUAAGUUAAAAGUGUACAAGGUUUCCGUAGGUGAACCUGCGGAAG